ACGGGUGAGUAACGCGUGGGAAUCUACCCAUCUCUACGGAACAACUCCGGGAAACUGGAGCUAAUACCGUAUACGUCCUUCGGGAGAAAGAUUUAUCGGAGAUGGAUGAGCCCGCGUUGGAUUAGCUAGUUGGUGGGGUAAUGGCCUACCAAGGCGACGAUCCAUAGCUGGUCUGAGAGGAUGAUCAGCCACACUGGGACUGAGACACGGCCUAGACUCCUACGGGAGGCAGCAGUGGGGAAUAUUGGACAAUGGGCGCAAGCCUGAUCCAGCCAUGCCGCGUGAGUGAUGAAGGCCCUAGGGUUGUAAAGCUCUUUCAACGGUGAAGAUAAUGACGGUAACCGUAGAAGAAGCCCCGGCUAACUUCGUGCCAGCAGCCGCGGUAAUACGAAGGGGGCUAGCGUUGUUCGGAAUUACUGGGCGUAAAGCGCACGUAGGCGGAUACUUAAGUCAGGGGUGAAAUCCCGGGGCUCAACCCCGGAACUGCCUUUGAUACUGGGUAUCUCGAGUCCGGAAGAGGUGAGUGGAAUUCCGAGUGUAGAGGUGAAAUUCGUAGA
RNAcentral lists this ribosomal RNA (557 nucleotides) under uncultured bacterium. RNAcentral's name for it is "bacterial SSU rRNA". It matches the Rfam family "Bacterial small subunit ribosomal RNA", at positions 102 to 694 of the family's 1533-position model. The record is from RNAcentral.